RNAcentral lists this ribosomal RNA (499 nucleotides) under uncultured bacterium. RNAcentral's name for it is "partial 16S ribosomal RNA". It matches the Rfam family "Bacterial small subunit ribosomal RNA", at positions 30 to 523 of the family's 1533-position model. The record is from RNAcentral.
AUUGAACGCUGGCGGAAUGCUUUACGCAUGCAAGUCGAACGGCAGCACGGACCUCGGUCUGGUGGCGAGUGGCGAACGGGUGAGUAAUAUAUCGGAACGUAUCCAAUAAUGGGGAUAACUAAUCGAAAGGUUGGCUAAUACCGCAUACGUCCUACGGGAGAAAGCUAGGGACCUUCGGGCCUGGCGUUAAUGGAGCGGCCGAUAUCGGAUUAGCUAGUUGGUGAGGUAAGGGCUCACCAAGGCGACGAUCCGUAGCUGGUCUGAGAGGACGACCAGCCACACUGGAACUGAGACACGGUCCAGACUCCUACGGGAGGCAGCAGUGGGGAAUUUUGGACAAUGGGCGAAAGCCUGAUCCAGCCAUUCCGCGUGAGUGAAGAAGGCCUUCGGGUUGUAAAGCUCUCUCGCAAGAGAAGAAAACUUACCCUCUAACAUAGGGUGAGGUUGGCGGUAUCUUGAUAAGAAGCACCGGCUAACUACGUGCCAGCCGCCGCCGUAA